Molecule: long non-coding RNA, 606 nt
Filed under: Heterocephalus glaber (naked mole-rat)
Lineage: Eukaryota; Metazoa; Chordata; Mammalia; Rodentia; Bathyergidae
Description: lncRNA (ENSHGLG00100042867.1)
Source: RNAcentral
GUUUAAAAUUAUUUGACUGGAAGUUGAGCCAGUGCCCACUCCAUCACCCUGGGAACUGUGAUUCUACCAGGAAAUGUUUUUGUCGGGUAAACUUUUCCUACUUGCUGCCAGGGAGGGAUCAGCUGUUGUUGCUUCUUGCCAGGGCUGUUAUCACGCCCUUCUCCCUGGUGACAGUGGAAAGCCAGUGGCCAGCUCCCAACCACCCUGGCUAGCACCCCUUUCGUGCCACCUUUCCCCCCUGAGGGAGGCCGCUGGGUACUGGAUGUCAUUGGCACCACCUUGGCUCUGCAGAUCCACCCAGCCCUUACUGCUGCUGGGUCCACUUAGGAAGAAUAUGAGGCUCUCUCUAGGCAAAGAUCUGGAGGUUCAGCCCACAGGACGGAUUCCUCCUGGAUCUCAGCGAAGCAGGGAAGUCAUUCAUCAAUUUCUAGAAGGUUCUUGCUGUGGAGCUCCCAAUCUUGCAGUGAUCCUCCUGUCUCAGCCUUCCAAGUGCUGGGAUUACAGGCAUGUCCCACCACACCCAGCUCUGGAAGGAAGGUGUUGCUGAAGUUGAAGAUGCCCAUUUUCGGAUUGAGACCCUCGGUUCUUCAUGACGAGCUCUCCGGA